Molecule: long non-coding RNA, 546 nt
Organism: Lolium rigidum
Lineage: Eukaryota; Viridiplantae; Streptophyta; Magnoliopsida; Poales; Poaceae
Exons: 2
Source: RefSeq, a predicted model, not a curated record
GUGGUGUGUGUGUGUGUCAGUCAGCACCAGGGGAAUUAUCUGCAUAGACGAGAUUGUUUUAGGUUUUUAAAAAUUGGCUAUCAUGUCUCAACUGCAGUUAAGUAUGUGUUCUCUCUUCUACCUUUCGAGGCUGAUCUUUCCUCGGUUGUACAGGUUAAUUCAAGAGCAUCACUUACACUCUCGAGUACGUUUGGACGGAUUUGUGUAACCAAGCUAAGGAUCACCAAGGUUUAAUUCUCCUUUGGGGCCCAGUUUAGAGCAUUCGGGCAAACAAGGAUAUCAAUUUAUUACUUAACGUUAAAAAUUGGUGGUAUAUACUAUAUGUGAGUAUGAGGGGGCUACGAGGUGUGUGCUUUGAUUAAUAGCAUACGUCCAGUACAUGUGAGUUUGUUUGGAACUUUCGACUUGGGACACAUUUGUUUGGCAGUUUAAAUCAAAAUAGUUUAUUCUCCGUGACAGUUGAUGUUUGUUCUUUCAGAGAAUGGCACGUUCAUAUUUCGUCCAGCAUAUUGUUGUAAACUUUAAUAUGUAGUCCAAGGCUUAAUU